GAUCAUGGACAGAUUGUUACUUGAUAGCCAACCUGAUGAGUUGGUUAACCAGUUCAUCAGGCUGGGUGAGUUAGCAAUGAACAGAUUGUUGCUAGGUAACAAACCCGAAGAGUUGUGUAACCAGGAUAAUUUUUCUAUGUUAGAUUCAGUUUAUUUUCCAUUUUGUUAGAUUUUAUUUUAUUUUAUUUAAAGAUUUAAUUAGAAAUAAAAACCCUCCUUUCCUUAAUUUAUUCAAUACAAACUAAAUCAAGCGAGAGCAACAUUGUUCUACGUGACAGCUAAAUUGACAGCUACCGCUUGUAUGGCUGCUAAUCGGCACCCUAGGUAGGAGACCCUGUCGGACUCUGAUAUGCAGACGUGUGAACAUUUGACCAAACGUUGUAGCGAUCAUGGUUUGUCAAGAGGGAACUGGAAAUUUUGAUGGAAGAAAAGAUGUUUAAGGGAAAAGGGUGCAGAGCAGCAAUGAUGGAGCGAGCACUGCAAUGCUGACCACUGCAGACUCAUCCAUCCAGAACACGUUGAACUGCUCCAGCUUCAGUUAAGUCAACUAUGAAGUCGGAUUACACCCAUAACUUCAACUGAGAACUUCACUUCUGCACGUCAUGCCACAAAAAGCUUAAACUGAGUGUAAAUAUUACUACACCAGACAAUGUAUAUCCUGGUGUUUACUCUUGACUCCUGCUUUCUCUUAAAAUAAACAUUACUACUUAAAGAGUGUGUCACCACACCAAAGAGAAGAGAGA
Long non-coding RNA from Poecilia reticulata (guppy), 743 nucleotides. RefSeq lists it as uncharacterized. Lineage: Eukaryota; Metazoa; Chordata; Actinopteri; Cyprinodontiformes; Poeciliidae. The record is from RefSeq and is a predicted model, not a curated record.